AAUAUUAAAUAUUUUUUAUUAGCGGAGAAUAUACCUGGAGAGAAGAAUAUCAAUAAUCAUGGCAAGGAUUAUUUUAAAUUUAAAUUGACGAUCGAUGAGAAAUGUGACCCAAAUAAUUUCGCCAAAUACCGUCUAUACGGCAUGUCGCGUAAGGGAAGUGGGUUACAUCGAUAAAGAUGUAAGCCCAUAAAAAAAAACCGGUCGCCGAAAACGAUCUCCUGGCUUCUGCGAGCAUGUGAUUUAGGACUUAAAAUUCAAAAUGACAUGUAUGGCCCGCAUCACGAUAUAGAGUAUCUCAGGAAUGCUCGUGUGUGUACGAGAGUAUAUAUUGAAGUCGAACGUCGAUGCGCUGAAAUUAAUGACUAUAUAAGGCACACUAGAAUAUUUCGCAUCAAUAUCAUCCUUCAUCCUGAUUUAAUCGUUCCGAUAUAGCCAUAAACCACGGACCAUCAUACCGCGCUCCUCGUUCGAUUGGAAUCCGAUUUUCAAAAUUCCAUUCCAGUCUCUCCUUGCGAAAUCAUCUUUAAAUCGUUCGAGGGAUUCGUAUAUUGAAGGUCAUCUCGUCGAAAGUCUACUACACCUAUUUGCCGAAAGUGAAUAUUCGAGUGAAACGAAUUACUCAUCGUUAGACGAGGACCGGACGUUUUAAGAGAAGGUGAAGUAAAAAAUGCGGCGCGGCCGAUCCGGCGCGAUCGGCGAACUUGUGGCCUCGCCGUGGAAUCAAGAAUUCGCGCCGGCCUCCUCUCGUUACACUUUCUACACAUGGAAUAAAAUAGAAAUACAUAGGCUGGUGGAUUCAAAAGUGGAAAGGAACGAAGAGUAGAAUGAAGAAAUGCAACGAAGAGAGCGAUAUGGCUGAAAACUGAAAGGAAAUAGAACAGACCACGGUUGAGUCCC
Formica exsecta is the source of this 897-nucleotide long non-coding RNA. RefSeq lists it as uncharacterized. The transcript is spliced from 4 exons. NCBI's taxonomy places the organism in Eukaryota, Metazoa, Arthropoda, Insecta, Hymenoptera, Formicidae. The record is from RefSeq and is a predicted model, not a curated record.